CGCCGGAUGAUCAAGGGUUCCAGGGUCAAGUUAAUCUGCCCUGGGUUAGUCGGGGCCUAAGGCGAGGCCGACAGGCGUAGUCGAUGGAUAACGGGUUGAUAUUCCCGUACCGGUGAAAAACCGCCCAUACUGAUAUUGUGAUGCUAACCAUGCGAAGCAUGAUGUGCAGGCUUUUGUUUGUGUGUUGUGUGGGUUGUGGGACCCGAUCUUUGGAGGUAAACGUGUUAACAGGUGUGACGCAGGAAGGUAGCCAAGCCACGCGAUGGUUGUCGUGGUCUAAGCGUGUAGGGUUGUCGGUUGUUAAAUGCGCCGGCUGUGUGCCUGAGACGUGAUGGGACCCCGUUUUUGGGGGAUUUGGUGAUCCUAUGCUGCCGAGAAAAGCAUCGGCGUGAGGUUUUAGCCGCCCGUACCCUAAACCGACACAGGUGAUCAGGUAGAGAAUACUAAGGCGAUCGAGAGAAUCAUGGUUAAGGAACUCGGCAAAAUGCCCCCGUAACUUCGGGAGAAGGGGGACCUUGAGCGUGAUGGGCACUUGCUGCCUGGAGCGUGUAUGGGUCGCAGAGACCAGGGGGAAGCGACUGUUUAUCAAAAACACAGGUCCGUGCGAAGUCGUAAGACGAUGUAUACGGACUGACUCCUGCCCGGUGCUGGAAGGUUAAGAGGAUUGGUUAGCUCUUUUGAGCGAAGCUGAGAAUUUAAGCCCCAGUAAACGGCGGUGGUAACUAUAACCAUCCUAAGGUAGCGAAAUUCCUUGUCGGGUAAGUUCCGACCUGCACGAAUGGAGUAACGACUUCCCUACUGUCUCAACCAUGAACUCGGCGAAAUUGCAGUACGAGUAAAGAUGCUCGUUUCGCGCAGCAGGACGGAAAGACCCCGUGACCUUUACUAUAGUUUGGUAUUGGUGUUUGGUUUGGCUUGUGUAGGAUAGGUGGGAGACUGUGAAGCAUGGACGCUAGUUUGUGUGGAGUCGUUGUUGAAAUACCACUCUGGUCAAUCUGGAUGUCUAACUUCGGGCCAUGAUCUGGUUCAGGGACAGUGCCUGAUGGGUAGUUUAACUGGGGCGGUUGCCUCCUAAAGUGUAACGGAGGCGCCCAAAGGUUCCCUCAGCCUGGUUGGCAAUCAGGUGUUGAGUGUAAGUGCACAAGGGAGCUUGACUGUGAGACUGGCAGGUCGAGCAGGGACGAAAGUCGGGACUAGUGAUCCGGCGGUACGUUGUGGAACGGCCGUCGCUCAACGGAUAAAAGGUACCUCGGGGAUAACAGGCUGAUCUUGCCCAAGAGUCCAUAUCGACGGCAUGGUUUGGCACCUCGAUGUCGGCUCGUCGCAUCCUGGGGCUGGAGUCGGUCCCAAGGGUUGGGCUGUUCGCCCAUUAAAGCGGUACGCGAGCUGGGUUCAGAACGUCGUGAGACAGUUCGGUCCCUAUCCGCUGCGCGCGUUGGAAAUUUGAGAAAGGCUGUCCUUAGUACGAGAGGACCGGGACGGACGAACCUCUGGUAUGUCAGUUGUACCGCCAGGUGCAUGGCUGGACGGACGAACCUCUGGUAUGUCAGUUGUACCGCCAGGUGCAUGGCUGAUUGGCUACGUUCGGGAGGGAUAACCGCUGAAAGCAUCUAAGCGGGAAGCUUGUUUCGUGAUGAGUUCUCCUGGCACCCUUUGGGUGUGUGAGGUUCCCUGUAGAUGACGGGGUUGAUAGGCCGGGUAUGGAAGCGCUGUAAGGUGUGGAGUUGACUGGUACUAAUAGACCGAAGGCUUACAUU
RNAcentral lists this ribosomal RNA (1757 nucleotides) under human oral metagenome. RNAcentral's name for it is "bacterial LSU rRNA". It matches the Rfam family "Bacterial large subunit ribosomal RNA", at positions 1335 to 2925 of the family's 2925-position model. The record is from RNAcentral.